UACGUAGGGUGCGAGCGUUGUCCGGAAUUAUUGGGCGUAAAGAGCGCGUAGGCGGUCCGGUAAGUCCGCUCUGAAAGUCCGGGGCUCAACCCCGGGAGGCGGGCGGAUACUGUCGGGCUAGAGUCCGGAAGAGGCGAGUGGAAUUCCUGGUGUAGCGGUGAAAUGCGCAGAUAUCAGGAGGAACACCAAUGGCGAAGGCAGCUCGCUGGGACGGUACUGACGCUGAGGCGCGAAAGCGUGGGGAGCAAACAGG
RNAcentral lists this ribosomal RNA (253 nucleotides) under uncultured bacterium. RNAcentral describes it as "partial 16S ribosomal RNA". It matches the Rfam family "Bacterial small subunit ribosomal RNA", at positions 524 to 776 of the family's 1533-position model. The record is from RNAcentral.